UACGUAGGGGGCAAGCGUUAUCCGGAAUUACUGGGUGUAAAGGGUGAGUAGGCGGCAUGGUAAGCCAGAUGUGAAAGCCUUGGGCUUAACCCGAGGAUUGCAUUUGGAACUAUCAAGCUAGAGUACAGGAGAGGAAAGCGGAAUUCCUAGUGUAGCGGUGAAAUGCGUAGAUAUUAGGAAGAACACCAGUGGCGAAAGCGGCUUUCUGGACUGAAACUGACGCUGAGGCACGAAAGCGUGGGGAGCGAACAGG
Molecule: ribosomal RNA, 253 nt
Filed under: uncultured bacterium
Lineage: Bacteria
Description: partial 16S ribosomal RNA
Rfam family: Bacterial small subunit ribosomal RNA
Source: RNAcentral